GCACAAAUAGUAAUAUGUGUGGAGCUCUUGUAAUGAAACACUAUUCUGGGGCUGGAGAGAUGGCUAGGCUCACAACCAAAAAUCUA
This 86-nucleotide microRNA precursor is filed under the name Mus pahari (shrew mouse). RNAcentral describes it as "miRNA (MGP_PahariEiJ_G0007544.1)". The record is from RNAcentral. Lineage: Eukaryota; Metazoa; Chordata; Mammalia; Rodentia; Muridae.